Molecule: ribosomal RNA, 379 nt
Filed under: uncultured bacterium
Lineage: Bacteria
Description: bacterial SSU rRNA
Rfam family: Bacterial small subunit ribosomal RNA
Source: RNAcentral
UAAGACAGAGGGGGCAAGCGUUGUCCGGAUUGACUGGGCGUACAGCGCGCGCAGGCGGCGAGGUAUGUGCUUGGUGACAUCCCACGGCUCAACCGUGGGCGGCCCAGGUAGACAGCCUGGCUGGAGGCAGGGAGAGGGUCGUGGAAUGCCCGGUGGAGCGGUGAAAUGCGUAGAGAUCGGGCGGAACACCAGCGGCGAAGGCGGCGACCUGGCCCUGUACUGACGCUGAGGCGCGAGAGCGUGGGGAGCGAACGGGAUUAGAUACCCCGGUAGUCCACGCCGUAAACGAUGUGGAGCCGGUGUUGGGGGGUGAUUGCGCCCCGCAGUGCCCAAGCUUACGCGAUGACUCCACCGCCUGGGAACUACGGCCGCAAGGCUA